This is a non-coding RNA of Oryza sativa Japonica Group (Japanese rice), 5038 nucleotides long. The record is from RefSeq and is a predicted model, not a curated record. NCBI's taxonomy places the organism in Eukaryota, Viridiplantae, Streptophyta, Magnoliopsida, Poales, Poaceae.
GGUUUCUUUCACUUGAUAGCAUGAGUUCAGCAUUUGUAGGCUGUCAAAUUUUUAAGGAUUUCUCACCAUAGUAAAACGAUUAUAUUGAAUUUACUUGGUGGAUCUUGAUCCGUAUGUAGCUCCUCUUUGCUUCCCAGGCAUAUGAGUUAUCUAUGUUUCCCUUUUGCUGAAAUACAUAUGGAGUUAAUUUUGCAAAACCAUAGAUAUUUUUGUCAAAACUAUAGAUUUAUGCCGCUGUAUUGCAAAACCACGUACUCCCUCCAUUCUAAAAUAUAAUGGAUUUUUGGAGGGAUGUGACGCAUCAUAGUAUUACAAAUCUAGAACAUAGUAUUACCACGAAUCCGGACAGCCUCUCUAUCCAGAUUCUAGAACUAGAACUAGGAUGUGUCACAUCCCUCCAAAAUCGCUUAUAUGGGACAUAGGGAGUAUUUAGCAUAUGGAGUUCCAUAAUUCUUGACGUUUGGACAAAAUUGAGGGCUAUCUAUAACUUUUAAAAUAUUUAGUUUGAAGAAGCUAGAACAUGAUAUAGAUUAUUCUUAAAAGUAUUUUAACAAAAUUAAAUAUUUCAUAAUUUCCCUCCUAGGAAAUUUUAGGAACUGAAGUCUACUUAACAAAAGACAACUGCAGCUGAGACACAGAGAGUCCGAGAUAGCUGCAACAUUAGUACUAAUUUUUUUGGUGUCUAGGGGUCUACUGGUUUAACUAAUUAAUGGAAUCAAGGAAUAAUGGGAAAUUUUAUAUAGUUCCAUCUCUGAUAGUAAUCUUACAUGCAUUUGAAUAAUGCGGAUUUUAUUUCUGAAUUGUUCUAUUAAAUGUACUGACUAAUGGACACCAGUAUGCCUCACUUCGACAUGUUUUCUUUAUGUUCUUAUAUUUAAUUAAUUAUCUUAUCAAUGCUAGGUACAUCAGUUGAAAGCUGUAAGGAGAAACUGAAGAGCCAAGAGACAGUAUAUUGAGCAACAUGGCCACUUUACCACUAGCCACUGGAGUUGGAUGGGUAGUAUCUCCUGUCAUCAAGCUUAUGUUUGAGAAGGUCCAAUCAUAUAUAUCAACUCAGUACAAGUGGCAGUCCAAUUUGGUGGAUGACCUUAAAAAGCUGGAGACUAUUUUAACUGAAAUUCUCUUGGUAGUAGGCACUGCAGAAAGGCGGAGAACACUUGAUUGCAAUCAGCAAGCUUUACUCCGCCAGCUGAAAGAUGCUGUCUACGAUGCCGAGGACAUCAUGGAUGAAUUUGAUUACAUGUUUCUGAAAGCGAAUGCUCAAAAGAGAAAGCUAAGAAGCUUAGGCUCCAGUUCUAUCUCUAUUGCCAAGCGUUUGGUUGGCCAUGACAAGUUUCGGUCCAAAUUGGGAAAGAUGCUCAAAAGCUUGAGUACAGUAAAGGAAUGUGCCCAUAUGCUCGUCAGGGUGAUGGGAGUAGAAAACUUUAGUUCACACAUGUUACCUGAGCCCCUUCAAUGGCGUAUCUCCAGCUCGAUUUCAAUUGGUGAGUUUGUAGUUGGUCGUCAGAAGGAACGGGAAGAACUAGUGCACCAAUUGCUGGAACAAUCUGACAAACCUGAAUCUAGAAGCAAAGGAGCAAGGUCAACAUCAUUAGAGGUAAUUACUAUAGUCGGCAAUGGCGGAAUUGGAAAAACUACUUUAGCUCAACUUAUUUACAAUGAUAAAAGAAUCGAGGAUAAUUUUGAUAUGAGGGCAUGGGUAUGUGUAUCACAUGUCUUUGAUAAGGUCAGAAUCACCAAAGAAAUCCUAACAACUAUUGAUAAAAGCAUUGACCUAACGAAUUUUAAUUUUAGCAUGCUGCAAGAAGAACUCAAGAACAAAAUAACCAUGAAGAAGUUUCUACUUGUAUUGGAUGAUGUUUGGUAUGAUGAAAAGGUUGGGGUACCCAUAAAUGCUGAUAGAUGGAGAGAAUUGUUUGCUCCUUUAUGGCAUGGGGCGAAAGUAAUCAAGAUUUUAGUUACAACUCGAAUGGGUAUUGUUGCAAAUACAUUAGGAUGUGCCACUCCAUUCUGUUUGAGUGGUCUAGAGAGUAAAGAUAGCUGGGAACUUUUCAGAAGAUGUGCAUUUAGCACUAGAGAUCCAAAUGAACAUCUCGAAUUGAAGUCUAUAGGUGAACACAUUGUGCAAAAAUUGAAUGGAUCGGCAUUAGCUAUAAAGGCUGUUGGUGGGCAUCUUAGUUCAAACUUCAACUAUGAAGAAUGGAAUCGAGUUCUAAAAAGUGGUCUAUCGAAUGAGAAAGAUAUUAUGACAAUUUUACGCCUAAGCUAUGAAUGCUUGCCAGAGCACCUUCAGCAAUGCUUUUCGUUCUGUGGUUUGUUCCCAAAAGGUUAUUAUUUCGAGCCUGACAUGUUGGUUAACAUGUGGAUAGCUCAUGAAUUUAUUCAGGAUCGUGGACGCACCUAUGGAAGCUUGACAAGCACUGGGAAAAGUUAUUUUGAUGAGUUGUUAUCAAGAUCAUUUUUCCAGGCACUUCGAUAUGGAGGUACAGUGCAUUAUGUUAUGCAUGACCUCAUGAAUGAUCUUGCUGUCCACGUGUCCAAUGGUAAGUGUUACAGAGUAGAAGCCAAUGAACCUCAAGAGAUUUUUCCAGAAGUUCAACAUCUGUCUAUACUGGCUGAAAGAGUUGACCUUCUUCGUGCCUGUAAGUUGCAAAGGCUGCGCACCCUAAUAAUUUGGAAUAAAGAAAGAUGUUAUUGCUAACGAGUUUGUGUGGGAGUAGAUUUUUUCAAAGAGUUCAAGAGCUUGAGAUUAUUGGAUUUGACUGGUUGCUGCUUAAGAUAUUUGCCGGACUUAAAUCACAUGAUACACCUUAGGUGCUUAAUUCUCCCAAAUACUAACCGUCCUCUACCUGAUUCACUCUGCAGUCUUUACCAUUUACAAAUGUUGUUUCUACACCGGCAUUCAUGUUUUAUAUGUGCAAAACAUGUCAUCUUCCCCAAAAACCUGGAUAACCUGAGCAAUAUUUUGACUAUUGAUGUUCAUAGGGAUCUUACUGUUGAUUUGGCUUCUGUGGGGCAUAUGCCAUACCUCCGGGCUGCAGGGGAAUUCUGUGUUGAGAAGAGGAAAGCGCAGGGGCUAGAGGUGCUGCAUGACAUGAAUGAAAAAAAAAACUAGAAUAUUAGGGAAGGACCUAAUAUCAAAUAAUUAGGAGGGGUGAGGCUUUGAACCCAGGUCGUCUAGCCCACCACCUUGUGGAGCUAGCCGGAAGACCCCUGGGCAUUUCUCCUGCAUGACAUGAAUGAACUCCGAGGGUUUCUUAUAUUUACAUCUCUCGAGAAUGUGAAAAACAAGGAUGAAGCAAUUGAUGCUCAGUUAGUCAACAAGAGUCAAAUAUCUAGGUUGGACCUACAAUGGAGUUUUUCUAAUGCAGAUAGCCAAUCUGACAAAGAAUAUGAUGUGCUCAAUGCUUUAACACCUCAUCCUUGCCUUGAGGAAUUGAAUGUUGAAGGAUACUCAGGCUGUACAUCUCCAUGUUGGCUGGAGUCCAAGUGGCUAUCUAGAUUGCAACACAUCAGCAUUCAUGAUUGCACAUGUUGGAAGUUGCUUCCACCUUUAGGUCAGUUACCAUCUCUCAGGGAACUUCAUAUUGAUGGAAUGAAAUCAUUAGAGUGCAUCGGCACAUCUUUCUAUGGAGAUGCUGGCUUUCCCUCCCUGAAAACACUAGAAUUGACAGAAUUGCCAGAAUUGGCAGAUUGGUCUUCAAUCGAUUAUGCUUUUCCUGUUCUUCACGAUGUACUCAUCAGUAGGUGUCCAAAGCUGAAAGAACUGCCACCAGUCUUUCCUCCACCUGUAAAAAUGGAAGUGCUCCCAUCCACCAUCGUUUACACACAGCAUACUGAUCAUCGCCUGGACACAUGUAUUACUCAAAAGGAGGUUAGCUUAACUAGCCUUUCGGGUAUUUUUCACGUAUGUCACCAGGAAUCUGUGGAAAUUGCAGAAAUUAGCUUUGACGGAGCAGACAUGGUGAAUGAUGGGCUUAGAGAUCUAGGCCCCAAUCUUCCAUCCCACCAAGGACCAUUUAUCUGCUGGUAUGCUGAUUUACACCGUGCGUUUGCGAGUUUAACAGAAAUGAAAAUUGUUGGUUGCCCCAACAUAACAUCGUUGUUGGACUUCAGAUAUUUUCCUGUCCUCAAGAACUUGAUCAUACAAGAUUGCCCCGAAUUGAAUGAACUACAAGAGGAUGGACACCUAACAACCUUGACAGAGGUUCUUAUAGAGCACUGCAACAAACUGGUAUCACUGAGGAGCUUGAGAAACCUUUCUUUCCUUUCCAAACUGGAGAUCAGAAAUUGCCUGAAGUUAGUGGCUUUGCCUGAGAUGUUUGACUUCUUCUCCCUCAGAGUCAUGAUCAUACACAAAUGCCCUGAAAUUGUUUCUUUACCGGAAGAUGGUCUUCCUCUGACCCUUAAAUUUUUGUAUUUGAAUGGAUGCCAUCCAUUGCUAGAGGAGCAGUUUGAAUGGCAACAUGGUGUUGAGUGGGAGAAGUAUGCCAUGUUGCCGUCAUGUUUGUUUGCUGGUGAAUCGAUAGGAUAUGGUCAAGAUAUAGCUGAGGAAAUACUUCGCGAGAAUGAUAUAAUCCAGCGGUCAAUUCAAUCCAGUCUACUGCAUCCAACUGAUUCUUCAGCAAGUUCUUCCAGUUUUCUUCAGUAAACUAUCUGGGCUGUCCUCCGAAGCUGUAGGCCUGCCGGUGAUCACCUACAGCUUCAUCACAUCUACCUGUGUGGCUGUGCUGACCUGGCCAAAAAAAAAAAAAUUCCACCUGUGGGUUCUAUUUUAAUCAAGCCAACUUAUUAUGAGGCUUGUGCAUUUUCACAUCUAAACCUAUUAUUUAUGCAUUACAGAACAUUCACCAUUCAUUGCUUGCGUUUUAUACUUUUUCUACAAGAUGCAAUGUUGCCAUCUGCUCACCAGGAGUAUCUUUCUUGUGGAGUUAUUUUUUCCCUUUUCUUUGGAAUAAUCAGAUAUGUAUCACACAAUAUGUAUGCUGGCUUUUGAGAUAAAUACCGGAGAUUGAAAUGACAUUUUGAGAUUUGAGCA